CCUGUUGCAAUACAUCCUUUAGCAAAUGCAUAAACCCGAGCGAGUCACUCACACACACACUCGCCUAAACCUCAACCUCGCGCCAAAUCAGUCUCAGACCCCCACCACCCAACCCCGCUCCACCUGGACAUGCAUCAAAACGUCGUCGUGUUGGACAACGGCGGCGGCCUAAUCAAAGCCGGACUCGGCGGCGAGCGCGACCCCUCAGCCAUAAUCCCCAACUGCGUCUACCGCCCACUCGCCUCCAAGAAAUGGGUGCAUCCUUCACCCAACGAGCCCAUGGACCUCACCUCCGCCGCGGUCCGGCGGCCCAUCGACCGCGGCUACCUAAUCAACCCGGAUCUCCAGCGCGAGAUCUGGGCCAACCUCUUCUCCUCCCUUCUCCGGGUCAACCCGGCCCAAUCGUCCCUUCUCCUGACGGAGCCCCUCUUCACCCUCCCUUCCAUCCAACGCGCCACCGACGAGCUCGUCUUCGAGGACUUCAACUUCUCGUCGUUCUACGUGGCCCACUCUCCCUCCCUGGCCCACCUCUACGAGGCCAGCCAGCGGACCUUUAAGGCCCAAUGCAGCCUCGUCGUUGACUGCGGCUUCUCUUUCACUCACGCCGUCCCUGUUUUCCAAAACUUCCCCAUCAACUACGCCGCUAAGCGAAUCGACUUGGGCGGCAAGGCCUUGACCAAUUACCUCAAAGAGCUUGUAUCUUACCGCUCUGUCAAUGUCAUGGACGAGACCUUCCUCAUCGACGACGUUAAGGAGAAGCUCUGCUUUGUUUCCUUAGACGUUGCUCGUGACCUCCAGAUCGCAAAGAAACAAGGGAAUGCUUUCAGGUGCACGUAUGUGUUGCCUGAUGGUGUUACGCAUACAAAAGGGUUCGUUAAGAACCCAGAAGAGGCGCAGAGAUACUUGGCUUUGGGAGACGGUGACACACUUGAAGAAGUGCAGCAAAAGAUGGAUGUGGAUCAGAUGGAAGUUACAAACAAGCUGGAGGAUCGAAAGAAGAUUGAUUUAACCAAGAAUGAAUUUGACUUGACAAAUGAAAGGUUCCUUGUGCCGGAGAUGAUCUUCCAUCCUGCUGAUUUGGGAAUGAAUCAGGCUGGGCUAGCAGAGUGCAUAGUUCGAGCUGUCAGUUCCUGCCAUCCUCAUCUUCAGCCUGUACUCUAUGAAAACAUUAUUUUAACCGGCGGAAGCACACUAUUUCCUCGACUUUCUGAUAGACUAGAGAAGGAGCUGCGGCCUCUUGUUCCUGAUGACUAUCAAGUGAACAUAACUCCUCAACAAGACCCCAUACUAGGUGUUUGGCGAGGAGGAUCUCUUUUAGCAUCAAGUCCUGAUUUUGAAGCAAUGCGUGUCACCAAGGCUGAAUAUGAGGAGCUUGGAUCUGCUCGAUGUCGCAGGAGAUUCUGUUAAUCUUGAAGGCUACAAAAUCAAAUUACAAUCCAAGUUUUCGGAUGAAAUCCAAAAUUGUUUAUUGUUACUCAUCAACCAAACAGCCCCAGCCCUGAAUAAGUAACAAUCCAAGUUUAUUGCUUAUUGAACACGGGCCACUUCUUUUCUUGGGCCAGAGAAGCAACAAAACCAAACAAGCCCGUAGCCCAUCCAAAUCGACAAACUGAGAUCUCAGACAAUCGUUUUCAUAAGCCCUUAGGAGUAACAAAAACCCAAAGCCCAAACAGAGCACAGAAAACCCGCCAACCGUCUCCAAGCCCUAAUCUAAUCCCCGACGCCAAGAAGCUUUGAUUCGAUUCGACGAGAUCAUCUACGAUCGCAAUCACUGAUACGUUAGUGACGUUUGGGUUUGAGGCCUUUGCGAAGAUCGCGUUCAAACACACUCGACGGAUCUGACGCCUUUGCGAUGAUCGUGUUCGAUCGGUUGGGCCGGUUGUUUCAGUAAUUCGAUCCAAUUUGGGUUCGAAGACGAUCGUCGAUGGCGAGGUCGCUGGUUUUGCCCGUGGAUGAACGAUUUCAGGGUCGCGGUGUUUCGGAUGGUGUAACGUUAGGGUUUGUUGUUGGGCAGAUCGUGUGUGGCUGAUGUGCCUGAUCUGGUGGAGCCUGAGUGCGCUUCGGAAUUGAUUCAAGCGAUUCUCUCCUUUUUUGAGACGGAUUGACUCACAGAUGUUCAAAUCUUUACCUUCUCGAUCUUCAUGUGCAGAGGAGGCCACCUCGGGAAGGCAGGACAGGGGCCUCGCAGGACCAAUGUUAAGUGAGACAAAGUUGUAAAACUUGCAAGGUGAACUCGUUCUACAUAAGGUGGGCAGUAGUGUGACCACAAUCAAAGUGUGGAGUUCUACAAUACGAAGUAGCUGCUGCUCAGGAUAUUUUUACUGGGUCCUUGUGUUUUGGGCAAAGGCUCCAAUUUCCUGAUAGGUGUUGUUCCCUGAUGAAUGCAGCUCUUAAAUUUAACGGAGCUUGAACUCGAAGUGGGUUGAUAUUUCAAGUUGGGUUUUCGCGUUCACUUAUAUAUUUCUAUAGAUAGGACUCCUGCAGCAAUUCCGUAAACUUGUUUCAGGCCUUUUUUUUUUUUUCUUCCCUGUAUAUCAAUAGUAGCUAAUGCAGAAUCAUUCUAUAGUGAGGACUUCAGCUAAGGGCCCUCAUUACAGAAUUCUUGAGCUAUUGCAAAACAGAUGUAAGGUGUCAUCAUAAGUUACGUCAGUAACAAAAGUCGUCUUUGUACAGA
RNA transcript from Prunus persica (peach), 2674 nucleotides. It is a transcript of the gene named actin-related protein 6, with no coding region annotated. The record is from RefSeq and is a predicted model, not a curated record. NCBI's taxonomy places the organism in Eukaryota, Viridiplantae, Streptophyta, Magnoliopsida, Rosales, Rosaceae. The transcript has 10 exons.